RNAcentral lists this long non-coding RNA (658 nucleotides) under Elaeis guineensis (African oil palm). RNAcentral's name for it is "long non-coding RNA (EGUI_LNC012440)". The record is from RNAcentral. Lineage: Eukaryota; Viridiplantae; Streptophyta; Magnoliopsida; Arecales; Arecaceae.
CAUCCAGAUGUACAUGUCAUUUAUUUUUCAACUACAAAGCAAGCAGAUCCUUUCGUACCACUUGAAAGUGGUAGAUCAGAAGAAAUUGUCAGCCUGUCCCUCAUGAAUACCUUAACCGUUUUUUUUGUUUAUUCGCCUUGCCUGAUGAAAGGCUUAUUACAGGAUGAGGAAGCCUGACAAGAAGGUAAAAUGGCGGAUUCACCUUCUAGUUAAUUUACAAAAGAUUUUGAUCAGCAUUGCAUAUGAUUAUAGCUAUGAUACCUUAUAUAAUCUUGUACUCCCAUAUUGCUUUUGUAGCUUGAAGCUUACAUAUUCAUGCAUGUGGUAUAUUUUUAGUUAUGCAUGUAAAAUUGGGAAGGAUUUUAGAUUUGAUAUGUUGAUAUUUUAUAUUUCAUUCUCAUAAGAAUCUUUUCACUAGGCUUUGAAAUUAAUUAUUUGCCUGUUUACUAGAUAAUCUUCUAUUUGGUCUGUUUUGCUUUUUUAUUGUUUUUCCCCCAAACUAAGAACUUUUCAAAGGACACAAUUUGAGAGUAAGCGGGGACUGAUUUAGAAUAUGUGCAAAGGAAAAGAACAGAAGUACCAAAAGGUUUUUGUUUAUUUUAUUCUCUUUAUUUUUGGACAAAAAUUAGCCUUUUUUUUCCACUUGAAUAGGUGCAGA